AUUGAACGCUGGCGGCAGGCCUAACACAUGCAAGUCGAACGAGUGGCGGACGGGUGAGUAAUGUCUGGGAAACUGCCUGAUGGAGGGGGAUAACUACUGGAAACGGUAGCUAAUACCGCAUACUAUCGGAUGUACCCAUAUGGGAUUAGCUAGUUGGUGGGGUAAAGGCUCACCAAGGCGACGAUCACUCGCUGGUCUGAGAGGAUGACCAGCCACACUGAAACUGAGACACGGCCCAGACUCCGACGGGAGGCGGCAGUGGGGAAUAUGGCACAAUGGGCGCAAGCCUGAUGCAGCCAUGCCGCGUGUAUGAAGAAGGCCUUAGGGUGGUAAAGUACUUUCAGCGGGGAGGCGGUACCCGAAGAAGAAGCCCCGGCUAACUCCGUGCCAGCCGCCGCGGUAAUAC
Molecule: ribosomal RNA, 406 nt
Filed under: uncultured bacterium
Lineage: Bacteria
Description: partial 16S ribosomal RNA
Rfam family: Bacterial small subunit ribosomal RNA
Source: RNAcentral